Molecule: ribosomal RNA, 433 nt
Filed under: uncultured bacterium
Lineage: Bacteria
Description: partial 16S ribosomal RNA
Rfam family: Bacterial small subunit ribosomal RNA
Source: RNAcentral
AACGAACGCUGGCGGCAUGCCUAACACAUGCAAGUCGAACGAGACCGUCGGAGCUAGUUGCGCAGGGGUGCGUAACGCGUGGGAACCUGCCCUUAGGUUCCCAAUCACCCACGGAAAGGGGUGCUAAUACCGGCUAAUGUUAUCGGACCAAAGAUUUAUCGCCUUUGGAUGGGCCCGCGUGAGAUUAGCUAGUUGGUAGGGUAAAGGCCUACCAAGGCGACGUAGCAUAGCUGGUCUGAGAGGAGGAGCAGCCACAAUGGGACUGAGACACGGAGCAGACUGCUACGGGAGGCAGCGGUGGGGAAUAUUGGAGAAUGGGCGAAAGCGUGAGACAGCAAUGUCGGGUGAGUGAUGAAGGGCUUAGGGUGGUAAAGCGCUUUUACAGGGGAUGAAAGUGACAGUACCGGGCGAAUAAGCCCCGGCUAACUACGUG